Campylobacter curvus 525.92 is the source of this 359-nucleotide non-coding RNA. It matches the Rfam family "transfer-messenger RNA". Rfam says of the family: Bacterial tmRNA, also known as 10Sa RNA or SsrA, is named for its dual tRNA and mRNA-like properties. Its role is to liberate the mRNA from a stalled ribosome. To accomplish this part of the tmRNA is used as a reading frame that ends in a translation stop signal. Lineage: Bacteria; Pseudomonadati; Campylobacterota; Epsilonproteobacteria; Campylobacterales; Campylobacteraceae. The record is from Rfam.
GGGAGCGACUUGGCUUCGACAGGAGCAGAGUGGCUACGGUGGCAUGUCGCUUUGAGCAAAGCGUAAAAAGCUCAAACUAAAUUUAAACGCAAAUAACGUUAAAUUCGCUCCUGCUUACGCUAAAGCUGCGUAAGUUCAGUUGAGCCUCGCCAUUUUGAUACUAUCUAAGAAAGUCUGCGAGUAACCCCAGAUAGAGUAGGCGUGCGUCCUGACGAGGCGUGAGCUGAAAUUUCGUCUUAGUUUAGCCGUUCGUUUUGGAAAGUGAGCGUGGCUAGAUGAAAUUUUCACUUUUGCUAAACAUGUAGAGGCUGUGGUUGUUUUGUUUUUGGACAGGGGUUCGAUCCCCCUCGCUUCCACCA